This is a long non-coding RNA of Arachis stenosperma, 5382 nucleotides long. RefSeq lists it as uncharacterized. NCBI's taxonomy places the organism in Eukaryota, Viridiplantae, Streptophyta, Magnoliopsida, Fabales, Fabaceae. The transcript has 4 exons. The record is from RefSeq and is a predicted model, not a curated record.
UUGUAGCACAGUAUACACUAAUUAAAACCUAUGCUCUAUGUUGAAUUAUCAUGUGUGAUUUUAUUCAUUACCAUAAUUAGUUAGAUUCUUUAAACCAGUUUUCAAAAACAAUUCUAUUCUAACCUAUACUCUUCAUACUAGAGAGUGCCAUCACUGCAACAAAACCUAAUUUAGAUGACCAUUUGGGGGAAGCGGUCAUUCAAAACUGCCGUUGCUGCAAUCUCUACAUUCACAUACCAGCGGUAAAACACAACCGCCUCUGAAGCACAAAUCCAGCGGCAGCCAUCACACUCGUUCCACGGCGGUUCAUGAAUUCGCGCCAUUACUUGCUCAGACCGCCUAAUUUCUCUUUCCUUCGCACUUCUCGCUAGCUCCACUACCCACUACUAUCUGCCAUGACCCCAAUUUUUCGUUCUUCCCAAACCUAGCGCGCCCAGAACCCCAAGUGCAGUGAAAAGAAAAUCUUCGUUCAAAACGAAAGUCUGCAACAAAUCAUUGAUUAGCAAAAUUAUACGCAUUUGUUCCUGUCCCUGUUGUUUCUCCUUCUUGUUCAUCGCUCUGAACGCACGAAUUUCUCUCCUGGAAGUGCAAAUUUUUGCAAUUUAAGGUUACUCUGUCUCUUUCUCUACUAUUAGGAAUUUAGGGGUUUAUUGGAUAUAAAUUGUAAAGAGAAAUUCGUACUUUCUUUUUUUGGUAUUAGAAUGAAUUCGUACUUAUUACUUAAUUAAUUAAAAGACAAUCUAGCUUGAAACUAAUAAUGGAAAAUUGUCCGAUGAAGUAUUGCGCUUGAAGAACAAUUUAUGUGAUUUGAUUUGUAUUCAAUCAGUCUAAUUUCAUUGAUGAAUUCAUCAUUGGGAUCGGAGUUGCAUAUUUGAUCAUAUUUUCUGUUUAAAUUAGUUCUCAAUUGAGGUCUAAAUUAUGAAGUAAAAUGAGCAACUAAGAGAAGAAGGGAGGGUGUAUUUGUUUAUUUGUGAGCAAAGUAAAAAUUCUGCAGAGAAUAAUAAUCAUGACAAAUAAAAAAAGAAGCAAAAUCUGAGAUACAAAACACAAGAAGAAAUAGACCCAAAACUGAUUGCAGGUAGAAUUUGACUACAAUGGAAUAAUAAAACUCCAAAGAAACCACCACGCAUGCAUAUCAGAGAGGUAUUUGAAGUGUUUGAUUAAUAGGGUUUUGCAGGUUUUUAAUCUGAAAUAGUUAUUCUUUCUGGUCUAUAUUUUUAGCAAAGGGAGCCAAAUUGAGUCAAGACCAACUUUGGCACAGGUAAUAAUUAUUAGUAUUUUUAGAUUUGUCAUAUUUUGUUGAUGAAUAUUGAUAAUUAAAGUUAGCAAAAUUGGAUUAUUUAUUCUAUUAUGAAUGCUAGCCCUGUUUGGUAUUGAUGUAUUCAUACUUCUAUAGUCAAAUAGCUACUGCCAAGUGCCAAUACUAUCCCUUUGUGUUUGUCUCGUCUAUACUUGGUAAAACUUUGGUAAAUUAAAGCUGUACUAUAAUGUAUCUAUAUUCUAUAUUUAUCCACACCACUAGUGCUUGAUAUUAAGGGUCCCAAUUUUUUUAUUUAUUUAUCAAAUCUGAGAGCCUUGCAUUGCAUCACGCUGUAAUAGAAAAUUGUGAGAGAUGCUUGAAGAAAACAGUAUCCAAACCAUGACAGAAAAACAAGUGUUAAAAAAAUGAAAUGAACACGUGUUAUGAGAAUUGCCUACAGCCUGAUAGCUUCUCUAGUUUAUCCCUUCUCUAUUUCUGUAAAUUUAAAAAAAAAAAAGAAAAACUGGGCAAUUUAAACAAAAUUCUCCUUUAAGAUAAUAAUUUAUACUACCGUAAACAGUUAAAAACUUGAUAAAUGGCAAAGAUAAGAGAUUCAUGUCCAUGGAUGAAACAUCAUUGCUUCUGUUUUUUGUUGAUGUCACAUGCAUCUGCUGCUGUCUUCAACUGAAACCAAAAAAGGUCUCAGGGAAGAUUUCAGGAUUUAAACUAAUUGAAAACUAAAACAACCCAAGAGAAGGAAUUGGACAUAAGUGCAAGCUAAAGAAUAAGUUAACCUGAUUUUUUUAUUAUUACUUUACAUGCUCUUCUUUGAUUAGAAACAGAACACAUUCACACACAUUUAGAGGUCCAAAAGGCUUGAUUCAUUAUACAGUUAUUUGUUAGUUUUGUGCCUCUUUAUAUAUACAUAUGUGAGUCAUUUAGCUUUUACAAAUUUUUAUAAACUAAAAUAGUUCAUGAAUACUCAAAUAAGAUGGAUGAAAUUAGUUCUUUACAUAAACUUAAAACAGCUGAUUUCCUAUCCACUACUUCUCUUUCAUGUUCUCUGUUCUGCACCUUUUUUAUUGACAUUUUACUAUAUACUUCAAUAGAUCAUAUGAUGCAGAGACUCCAUGCAGAGAACAAUAAGCAUUACUCUAUUGAAGCAUAGACCAUUCAACUUUACAUAGCGAAUAUGACUAAAACAAUUAGUAUUAUGCUAACUGCGAAGUUUAAUGGAGACAUAUUCAUCAAAGUUGGUUGUUGAUGGGGAUUACCCUGUUAUUUUUUUUAUAAACUGUUUUAAUUAGUAAUUUUAUCAAGUGUUUUUAAAGUAUAUAUUAGUUAAAUUAUUUUUUAUUUAUUAUUAUAUUUGUUAGGGAAAAAUUAAAGAUUUAGCUAGAGAAUACUAGAAAUAAAAGAGAAAUAGUAUUUUUUAUUUUUAAGAUUGAUUCACUUAUUAUUUUAUUAGUAUUAAAUUGAAGAUGAGUGGUACCUAAUUGAGAAACACAGAUAUCAAGGGCAUUUCUUGGAAUAAAGAUGUAGAUCAGGAAUUCAAUAGUUGAAGCAUGCUUUGGGCUAUUUUGUGCAAUAGAUUUGUGUCUAUUUAAAAGUCACACGUAGUGUUAUCAUUGAUAUUUUUGUAGACUUUUACAUUAGGACUUUUCAUGAAUGAGAGCUCAAUGAGUAAAAUUACUUCUUAUAUGGUUGAAUAAGGACUUCAGACUAGUUUUGAAUAUAAUUAGUACUUAAUUAAAGGUAAAUCCGAAUGAGUACCUAACUUCUAAACAUGACAGAUAGCCUGGUAAUGGAUCGUAAAAAUUAGUCAACUUGCAUAAAAACUCUAGAUCAUAAAUUAAUUUACAUAAUCAUUCAUUAGUGUGUUCUCCGUGGUAUGCGAUUAUUUAGUUUUACUUGCCGUAAACAACACCGGACGUGCGUUUAUUCUGAUCAUAUUUUCAUGCAUUUGCUAUAGAGAUAUUUAUUUUGUUGUUAAGAUGGUCUUGAAGUUAAAUUGUCUAGUUUUGAGUGCAUAGCUAGCUAACUAAUUAGGAACCUUUUUUUGGAUAGAAUUGAAAGAAUGGAGAAUGUACAGUAAAUAGUGAUGAUGCAUUAACAGUUAAGACUUAAGAGUAGUACCAUCUCUCUCUUACUUUCUUUGUGAAACUGCAAAUGCAACUGCAUCUGGAACUGCUGCGUUUUAUGUCUGAAAUUGGUGCUAUGUACAAGAAUAUUUAUUCCAACCCGUAGUGAAUGCUGUUUUGUUUGGAAGUAACAUACCUACCUAUUCCAUUUUACUUAUUUGCUGAUUUUUUUUUUUUGAAAAACAAGUAAGUAACAUCUCUUUCCCUAUGGUUGGUAGAUUAGUAUUUUUAAAAAAAUAUAUAUUUACAUAGUUGUUACUAAAUAGUGCACAUGGCUUUAAACCAGAACAAAUUACUUUAAAGCUAUGGAAGUUCUGGAUAAAUCGUGGAUUAAGAGACCACGAAAUUCUCUUGAGUAUGCACAAGGUGUCUCAAGAUUUAUUGAGUUCGCUUUUGCAUUUAAAGAUCCUCUUCCGAGUUUUCUUCUGGGUCUUUUUUCAUUGGAUCCUCUUCCUCGUGGCUAGAUCUAUUGGAUUCCUUUCUUUUUUGUAUCUCAGAAUCUGAGUCGACGUAGACCACCUCAGAUAAGCAGCGUUUUUGGGUACUGGAUUUGGAGUAUUUGCAUCUAGAAAUGUUACAAUAGGCAGUUGGAGAUUUUUUUUGGACAGAUCCUCGACCUAUAUUAAUUGUUUGGAUCACAGUAGUUGUAGUUGUAAUUAUCCAGACUUGUUUGAGAAGAUCAUAUUCCGAAGUCAUCCUGAGAAGGCGCUGGGUUGUUUUCACUCUAUGUGCAUGUGCCAUUUAUACUCCUCUAUAGAUAGUAUAAAAAAGAAAAAAAGGUGAAAACUUGAAAUAUAUCAAUAAAAAUACUAUGUACAAAAUAUACUGUAAAGAUCUUGGAAAAGUAAGUAAGCAAUCAAUGAUUUAUUUGCUCCAACAAUAAAAGAGAACCCUAAUUCUUCAUUUCAAGAAAAAUAAAAAAAGAAGCCCAAAGAAAAAAAAGAAGAUCAAGAAGAGGAGGGAGAGCGAGAGAAAGAAAAAGCAACAUAUAUUACAGACUUGGCUCAACUUUUGAUGACUACUACUACAGCAGGCAAUAGCUCUCGGUAGAAUACUAACUGAUGCACUCUUUCGUUUCACUUCAAUUCCAUCAUCACUAUUUAUAGCCCUUUGUUUCUUUGUCCAUCUUUGAAAGGAGCUCUCAUGAAAGAAAAAUGCUGCUAACCAGCUAAGCCCUCAAAUGAUUUUUUUUCCUCAAAACAAACGCUGAUCACGUACAAAUUAUAUUAACAUAAUGCAUCUUUUUCUUGUUAAAAUUAAACCACUCUUAACUACAAAUAACAACUCCUGUUCUGAAAUGUCAAGAGUUCAAUCCUUGGUUAUAUGGAGGAGUAUAGAAGGAGCCAAUCAAGGAGGGAAGCGCGUGGGGCAAGUGACGACAUCUACCCUUACUUUUGAACAGUCAAAAGUGUACCUCACUGAGGAAUGAAGAAGAUAACAUCAUACUCAUACAUUCAAACAUACAAUCCCAAGGAUUUGAAAAAUGAAAAUCAAUUAGUACAUACCAUUUCUGACAAAGUGAUUAUUUUUUUCAUUUUUAUUUGUUUGUAAAAUAAAAAAUACAAGUAUAAAGCUGCAUAGAUGUUACUUCAGUAGACAUUUCAGAACAGGAGUUGUUAUUUGUGGUUAGGUGUGAUUUAAUUUUAGCAAGAAAAAGAUGCAUUGUUUUACUAUAAUUUGUACGUGAUGAGUAUUUGUUUUGAGAAAAAAAAAUUAUUUGUGGGCUUAACUGGUUAGCAGCAUUUUUCUUUCAUGAGAGAUCUUUUCAAAGAUGGACAAAGAAACAAAGGACUAUAAACAGUGAUGAUGGAAUUGAAGUGAAACGAAAGAGUGCUUCAGUUAGUAUUCUAUCGAGAGCUAUUGCUUGCUGUAGUAGUACUCAUCAAAGGUUGAGCCAGGUUCUGUAAUAUAUGUUGCUUUUUCAUUCUCUCGCUCUCCCUCCUCUUCUUGAUCUUCUUCUUUUUCUUUGGCCUUCUUUUUUUUUAUUUUUCUUAAAAUGAA